Molecule: non-coding RNA, 69 nt
Organism: Bos taurus (domestic cattle)
Lineage: Eukaryota; Metazoa; Chordata; Mammalia; Artiodactyla; Bovidae
Source: Rfam
CCUGGUGGCUCAGAUGGUAAAGCGUCUGUCUACAAUGCAGGAGACCCAGGUUCGAUCCCUGGGUCAGGA